GAUGAACGCUGGCGGCGUGCUUAACACAUGCAAGUCGAACGGAAAGGCCACAGCUUGCUGUGGUACUCGAGUGGCGAACGGGUGAGUAACAUGUGGGUGAUCUGCCCUGUACUUCGGGAUAAGCUUGGGAAACUGGGUCUAAUACCGGAUAGGAAUCACAUGUGGGUGUGUGGUUGGAAAGCUUUUGCGGUAUGGGAUGAGCUCGCGGCCUAUCAGCUUGUUGGUGGGGUAAUGGCCUACCAAGGCGUCGACGGGUAGCCGGCCUGAGAGGGUGUACGGCCACAUUGGGACUGAGAUACGGCCCAGACUCCUACGGGAGGCAGCAGUGGGGAAUAUUGCACAAUGGGCGCAAGCCUGAUGCAGCGACGCCGCGUGGGGGAUGACGGCCUUCGGGUUGUAAACUCCUUUCGUCAGGGACGAAGCGAAAGUGACGGUACCUGGAUAAGAAGCACCGGCUAACUACGUG
This 466-nucleotide ribosomal RNA is filed under the name uncultured bacterium. RNAcentral's name for it is "partial 16S ribosomal RNA". It matches the Rfam family "Bacterial small subunit ribosomal RNA", at positions 28 to 507 of the family's 1533-position model. The record is from RNAcentral.